UAAAAUUCUGGCUAGCUGGGCCCUCAC
Molecule: non-coding RNA, 27 nt
Filed under: Mus musculus (house mouse)
Lineage: Eukaryota; Metazoa; Chordata; Mammalia; Rodentia; Muridae
Source: RNAcentral